This 2169-nucleotide long non-coding RNA is filed under the name Marmota monax (woodchuck). Lineage: Eukaryota; Metazoa; Chordata; Mammalia; Rodentia; Sciuridae. The record is from RNAcentral.
GGGGCACUUAACUCUGAGCCACAUUCCCAACCCUUUUUUAUAUUUUAUUUAGAGACAGGAUCUUGCUGAGUUGCUUAAGGCCUUGCUAAGUUGCUGAGCCUGACCUUGAACUCACAGACUCCUGCCUCGGCCUCCCAAGCUACUGGGAUUACAGGCAUGCACCACCACACCCAGCAGUCUUUUGGCUUUCUGUUUCAUGGCCCAGAAGUAUCAGAAGCAACUCUGCUAGGGAGAUCCCUCCUCCAUCCCCCUCCAUCCCAUUAUCUCCCCUCUGAUGAUACCUGCAUGGAAUGGCAGGUAGUGGCUUGUGGUUUUGCUGUUGUGAGCCAUUCCAGGACUGUUUCCAGGCAGGAACAAAGUGCCACAACUCUUAGGAGAUUUAGCAACUGAAAUUUAUGGUCUCAGUUGGGCUGAAGUCCUGCAUAGAGGUGUGAGAGGCUCUUCUCUAGGCCUGUCUCCUGGUCUCUGUAGUCUUGUGGCCAGUGGUAGCUUAACUUGUCCUCACAUAUGUUCUCCCUGCAUCUGUCCCAAUUUCCCAUUCUAUGUGGACCCCAGCCAUAUUGGAUUAGGGUCCACCUUAAUGACCUCAGCCUAACUUGGCAAAAGAGCAUCUCUUCAAAUAAUAUUGUAUUCUGAGGUACUGGGGGGGGGGAGGCAAUUCAAUCCUCAUCUUUCACCUCUACAUGCACUUCUGGCCAGUCUGUUCAGGCUCAGGUGCAGGUGGCAGUAAGUAGAGAUGGUGUCUGCCAAUCCCUUCAUUGACCCUCUUUCCUGGCCUCGUGGUGGUCCUGAGGUUCCUUUUGUAGAGUUUUAGGGAAAUCUCUCCCCUCUAUGCAUUGCUGUAGCACACCUGCCUCACAUGCCAGCGCCUGGGCCAACACCCAGGCUGCCUUCUCCCUGUCCAGCCCUCCUGCAGAGUGACCUCAACGGUCUCAUGGAAAAAUCUGUCCCAAGAGCUCUCUGCCAAUAAAAUUGUACCACGAUCUUGCAGUCAAUUCCGUGUUAGUAAUAAGAGGCUGCUUUUGUUCUUAGAGCCUCCAGUGGCUUUCUGUCUCCCUCAGAGCGAAAGCCACACUCCUCACACAGGUCAAUGGGAUCCUCCCGGAUCUCCCAAAUACCUCUCACCUCGUCUCACUGAUGCUUUGCUCAGCGCCAGCAACACUGGUCUUCACGCUCUCUUUUGAGCUCCCCAGCCUUGGGCGGGGGAGGGGGGGUUGCGUUUUCUGUAUCUUCUGGAAUGUGCCUCUCAAGUAUCUGCUCAUAGGUCACUUUCUCAGACAGUUCUUCCCUGACCAUCCUAUUUAAGAUUGCAGGCCCCUCCCCGAGCUCCUCUUACCUCUUCUCUGCUUUGUGCCUUGUCAUCGCCAUGGGACAUAACAGACUUUUUUUUUUUUUUAAUUGUCUAUCUCCUCCAUGCCACAAUGGCAUUUUUCUGUGAGCAAAAUUUUUUUCUUCCUGUUUUAUUCACUACUGCAUCUCAAUAUUUAGAAGAUGACCAGCAUGUAGAAGACACUUUGAUAUCAAUUUUUUCACCCAUCUGUGCAUGUUACCCCACCCAUGCUGGUGUUCUCAGAUGGAGAAGUUUGACCUCCUCCCUUAGGAAAAUGUAAUUAAAAUCUAGCUUCCCUGGAUCCUUGGCACAAUUAUUAGACCGAAAACCUUCCUAAAGCAGAAGGGCAGCCUGAGCAAUGAGGCUCCAGGGCCUUCUAACACUAAACUGCUACGUGAGUUUAGAGAGCAACAAUCCCUCUGAAUCCCAAUUGCCCAAUCUGAAAAAUGGGUAUGUCAUGAUACCUAUCUUGUAGGGAUGUGAAAAUUAAUUCAUGUACAGAAAAAAACUGACUUAGGGUGGCAUUCCAUAAAUAUGAAUCAUUAUUAUAGCUAUAAAACUUUGUAUUUUUAAAAUGUUUUAAAAUAUUUUUUUAGUUAUAAAUGGACAGGAUACCUUUAUUUUAGUGAUUUAUUUUUAAAUCAAACCCAGGGCCUCGUGCAUGUAAGGCAAGUGCUUUAUCACUGAGCUACAACCCCCAGACCUUGUGUUUUUUAGAGAAGACCUACAUGUAGAAAUAUCUGUACUUCAUUCAUAAUAGAUAAAUGAGUUUCAUAAAUCAUUUUACUAUUCACUGGAGGAAACAGUACAAUAAAACAUUACUGAAAAAUGACUUACAA